AACAAACGCUGGCGGCGUGUCUUAAGCAUGCAAGUUGAGCGGCAAGGAGGAGAGAUCCUCCCUAGAGCGGCGGACUGGUGAGUAACGCGUGGGUAAUCUAUCUUAGGCAUGGGGAUAGUCACUAGAAAUAGUGGGUAAUACCGAAUAAGUUCCAUAAGGGGAGGACUUAUGGAAGAAAGGUGCUACGGCACUGGCCUUAGGUGAGCUCGCGUCCCAUUAGCUAGUUGGUGAGGUAAAGGCCCACCAAGGCGAUGAUGGGUAGCCGGCCUGAGAGGGUGUACGGCCACACUGGGACUGAGAUACGGCCCAGACUCCUACGGGAGGCAGCAGCUAAGAAUAUUCCGCAAUGGACGGAAGUCUGACGGAGCGACGCCGCGUGGAUGAAGAAGGCCGAAAGGUUGUAAAGUUCUUUUGCUAGGGGAGAAUAAGUGUGGGAGGGAAUGGCCUGCACGAUGACAAGGACUAGCGAAUAAGUCCCGGCCAACUACGUGCCAGCAGCCGC
Molecule: ribosomal RNA, 502 nt
Filed under: uncultured bacterium
Lineage: Bacteria
Description: bacterial SSU rRNA
Rfam family: Bacterial small subunit ribosomal RNA
Source: RNAcentral